GCAGGUGAAAAGCCGAGCUGGGCCGACGACGGGCCGGUGGGCCCCGCUGGACCUGGGCUGCGCUUGUCGGCGCUAAAAUUACGAUCUGGGCCUUCUGGGCCCACGCAGGCCUCUGCGAGGGAGGGGGGUAGUUUCGGGAGUUCCGGUUUUACGUGGCCGAUCUACAGACGGGGGGAUACGUGGAACGAGCGUCGCUCUCUCGCCGGGCAGCUAGCCUCUACGCAUAUGCAGGUGUCGCCCGUGUUGGGCGUCGUGACAACCAACUUUUCGAUACCCACGUUCUUGCGAAAAGCUUUCCGUGUUUUCAAUUUUUUUCGUUUUGUGAAUUAGUUGGGUCAAUAAAGGGCGGUAACGGGAGAGCUUUUCCGUGGCCGGGCAAACGGGCGGAAAGCUUGGGAAAGAAGGAGAUCUCGCGCGUUGAAAUCUGCUUUUUUUCGUGCAUGAUUGUGAAGUCCACUACCUCCUGCUGCUGCCUGCUGUAGAGAGGUUCGGAAAUCCUUGCCGUCGAAGCAAGAUGACACGAGGAGUCGAGGAAGAGGUCGGCCCGUGUUGCAUGCACACAGCGUUGGCACCAGCUGCUUCUGCUCACUCCAUCUUCGUGUCAGCUGCGUCUGUCGAACGGUAUUGAUCGGUCGGUCCCCUUUAUUACGGAUACAAGACACACAGACAGACAGCUGCCCGGACGUGCAGGCGACACGUGGCCGAAAUCGAGGCGUUCCUGGAGAGAUUAUCAAGCAGUUGCUAGUAGGUGCUUACUUCUUCCUAGCUCAAGGUUUAUUUUGGUUAACUCUACAAACUCGUUUCGUGUGGCGCCUCACCAGCUCUGCUCGUCGUCCUUCCCAGGCAGGCCCGCAGUAUUAAGAAACGAACUGAGCAGGACUGGUAUGCAAUUGCUUUGAGAAGCAAAGAACUGAUCGGGCAAGAUUUUUAUUUUUUUAUUUUUAUUGCUGAGAGGGGAGUACGGAGAAGAAGUGAGGCAGAGCAAAACCAAAAGCCUUGCCACGAACGAAAUCCUUGUGUAUUCGGGCCUUCCGCGAGGCCGUCAACGCCUGCCAAUGUUUUUUUUUCCUUUUUUCUUUUUGAGCGAAGCCUGCGAAUGGUUAACGGUGCAGGCCGCCGGUGUCGCAGGCCCAUGUCGCUCGCCGAAUUUCGUUCCAAGACCAUGGGCCGAGUGGCGAGUAGCUUAUACUAACCGGGCCUUCGCAAGCACACAAUUUCCAGGCCCAAAGUUUCCUACUAUACUAAAGUGCACGCUGCUCCGUUCCGUACCAAUACCCAGCGGCCAUAUGGGCGGCCCCCAUAUACGCGUUAAACAAAACAUUACUGCAAGUAGUAUCCUGGAAUUCUUCGCUGUAGAUGAGAUGACAGGCAAACCAUGCGAAGUCGAUAAGCUUCGAUUCGACGGGUAACAAACAGAUCAAACCACUUUAUUAAUUAAUCACAUCAAACGAUAUAUUUUUCAGUUAUAUGAAAAUGAGUGGGAGGCGUAGAGAGCGACCGUGUACAAUAAUUGAGUGGAUUAAUUUACGGCCACCUGCCCAGUCGAUGAGCAGCAGCAUUACGGGCACGGCACGCUCGAUCGAAACGCAAGGUCAAAGGGGUUGGCAUCACCCGGAUAACAACGUCGACGUACGGGAAAAGAGUUUGGGCGUUCCAAACCACUCAUCCAUUAGUAAGCGCGUUUAGCAGAUUAGAUUGUUGUCAACAAAAUUAAAAUACUCCAUAUUGUAGUAGCAAUUCCAUGUGUUAAUAGGGUAUCCUAGUGCGUGGGGUUUCAGGUAUCGCCCGAGUAACAACUUUUGGGCAAAGCCCCAAGAGGAGUGCUUUCGGCCCUUUUUGAUCCGCAUAAUUCAUAAAACAAAUGCAAGAUCAAAUUGGCAUGUCGUAUU
Molecule: long non-coding RNA, 1889 nt
Filed under: Brachypodium distachyon (stiff brome)
Lineage: Eukaryota; Viridiplantae; Streptophyta; Magnoliopsida; Poales; Poaceae
Description: long non-coding RNA (BDIS_LNC001550)
Source: RNAcentral